Non-coding RNA from Apaloderma vittatum (bar-tailed trogon), 405 nucleotides. Lineage: Eukaryota; Metazoa; Chordata; Aves; Trogoniformes; Trogonidae. The record is from the annotation of a RefSeq genome assembly.
AUGCACCUCAGACAUCUCCUCCUCCCUGUCUUCCUGGGGCAACUGCUGGGCACCAUGGGGCAGAUCACCAUCACCCAGAAAGAAGCACAAGUCACAGUGAAGCGAGGAGACACCUUCCAAACAACAUGCACGUACCAGACCUUGUACUUUCAAGGCUUGCUCUGGUACCAGAUGAAGAAAGGCCAAGCUCCCCAGCUCAUCUCGUAUCAGGCAGUAGCUGGCUCCAGGCCAAGCGGCCGUUUCACCACGUUUCUGAACACCACGGGGAAAUACAGCCUCCUGCAGCUGCAGGAAGCCCAGCUCUCUGACAGCGCCUUGUACCUCUGUGCUGUGCAAGACACGCUGGUGCAGGGAGCUUCCUUGGCUGUGCAACAACCCAGGGGAGGGAGGGGGGGUUUCUAUGAC